Long non-coding RNA from Toxotes jaculatrix (banded archerfish), 217 nucleotides. RefSeq lists it as uncharacterized. The record is from RefSeq and is a predicted model, not a curated record. The transcript is spliced from 3 exons. Lineage: Eukaryota; Metazoa; Chordata; Actinopteri; Toxotidae.
ACGUGGUUGUUCAGAGCAGCAACUUCACUGACUCUGCCUGCCACAGAUUUGGACAAAGUGACACAGGGGAGGUAGACUUGAUUGCCUCUUGUGCCUUCACAAAGCAGCUGUAUCAACAAUCCCAGACAGAAGACCAGAGCAUCACAACACCAAGAGAAAAACACAAAAAAGAUGACUGCUAGAAGGUUUGAAUACCCUUAAGGAGCAGAACAUGACA